CACCGCGGUUAUACGAGAGGCCCAAAUUGAUGAAAAACGGCGUAAAGCGUGGUUAAGAAAAUAAGAGAAAAUAUGGCCGAACAGCUCCAAAGCAGUUAUACGCAUUCGAAGCCACGAAGAACAACCACGAAAGUUGCCCUAAAACCUCUGAUUCCACGAAAGCCAUAAAA
Molecule: ribosomal RNA, 170 nt
Filed under: Microgadus proximus
Lineage: Eukaryota; Metazoa; Chordata; Actinopteri; Gadiformes; Gadidae
Description: partial 12S rRNA
Source: RNAcentral